RNAcentral lists this ribosomal RNA (597 nucleotides) under Eriogonum maculatum. Its description in RNAcentral is "eukaryotic LSU rRNA". The stretch from base 225 to 380 matches the Rfam family "5.8S ribosomal RNA". The record is from RNAcentral. Lineage: Eukaryota; Viridiplantae; Streptophyta; Magnoliopsida; Caryophyllales; Polygonaceae.
UCGAAACCUGCACAGCAGAACGACCCGUGAACUCGUUUACCAAACCCGAGGGGACGGGGCCUGCCUCGCACCCCUUGGAGCCGGGACCCGCCGAGAGGCGCGCGACGGCAAGUACCCAAACACCGGCGCGGGUUGCGCCAAGGACUAUGAAAUUCUACCGCAUCUCGCGGCCCUGGGAGACCAGGCGCUGCGGCGAUAGCGUGUCGAAAUGUAUAAAAAAGAACGACUCUCGGCAACGGAUAUCUCGGCUCUCGCAUCGAUGAAGAACGUAGCGAAAUGCGAUACUUGGUGUGAAUUGCAGAAUCCCGUGAACCAUCGAGUCUUUGAACGCAAGUUGCGCCCGAAGCCAUCCGGCUAAGGGCACGUCUGCCUGGGCGUCACGCAUCGCGUCGCCCCCUCAUCCUCCGAUCCGGAGCGGGAUGAGGGGCGGAAUAUGGCCCCCCGUGCGCCCUAGCGCGCGGCCGGCCUAAACACGGAGCCCGUGGCCGCGAGUGCUGCGACGUUUGGUGGUUGAAUAUCGAGCAUCGCGUCGCGCGCCGUAGCGUACUCGGAGAGCUCGAAGGACCCUUAGGCGCAGUAGCCUACCCUUGCGACCCC